AGUGAACGCUGGCGGUAGGCCUAACACAUGCAAGUCGAACGGAAGCACAGUAAGAGUUUGCUCUUACGGGUGGCGAGUGGCGGACGGGUGAGGAAUACAUCGGAAUCUACUUUUUCGUGGGGGAUAACGUAGGGAAACUUACGCUAAUACCGCAUACGACCUACGGGUGAAAGCAGGGGAUCUUCGGACCUUGCGCGAUUGAAUGAGCCGAUGUCGGAUUAGCUAGUUGGCGGGGUAAAGGCCCACCAAGGCGACGAUACGUAGCUGGUCUGAGAGGAUGAUCAGCCACACUGGAACUGAGACACGGUCCAGACUCCUACGGGAGGCAGCAGUGGGGAAUAUUGGACAAUGGGCGCAAGCCUGAUCCAGCCAUGCCGCGUGGGUGAAGAAGGCCUUCGGGUUGUAAAGCCCUUUUGUUGGGAAAGAAAAGCAGCAGGUUAAUACCCCGCUGUUCUGACGGUACCCAAAGAAUAAGCCCCGGCUAACUUCGUG
Molecule: ribosomal RNA, 492 nt
Filed under: uncultured bacterium
Lineage: Bacteria
Description: partial 16S ribosomal RNA
Rfam family: Bacterial small subunit ribosomal RNA
Source: RNAcentral